AUUGAACGCUGGCGGCAUGCCUUACACAUGCAAGUCGAACGGCAGCACGGGGCAACCUGGUGGCGAGUGGCGAACGGGUGAGUAAUGCAUCGGAACGUGCCAUUGAGUGGGGGAUAACGUAGCGAAAGUUGCGCUAAUACCGCAUAUUCUGUGAGCAGGAAAGCAGGGGACCGCAAGGCCUUGCGCUCUUUGAGCGGCCGAUGUCAGAUUAGCUAGUUGGUGAGGUAAAGGCUUACCAAGGCGACGAUCUGUAGCGGGUCUGAGAGGAUGAUCCGCCACACUGGAACUGAGACACGGUCCAGACUCCUACGGGAGGCAGCAGUGGGGAAUUUUGGACAAUGGGCGCAAGCCUGAUCCAGCCAUGCCGCGUGAGUGAAGAAGGCC
RNAcentral lists this ribosomal RNA (384 nucleotides) under uncultured bacterium. Its description in RNAcentral is "bacterial SSU rRNA". It matches the Rfam family "Bacterial small subunit ribosomal RNA", at positions 30 to 416 of the family's 1533-position model. The record is from RNAcentral.